AAUAUUGCGCAAUGGACGAAAGUCUGACGCAUCGACGCCGCAUGGGCUAUGAAUGCCUUCGGGUCGUAAAGCCCUUCUCUGGGGGAAGAGAAAGGACUGUACCCCAGGAAUAAGCCCCGGCUAACUACGUGCCAGCAGCCGCGGUAAAACGUAGGGGGCAAGCGUUAUCCGGAUUUACUGGGCGUAGACAGCGUUGAGGCGGUUUUGUAAGUCGGGCGUGAACGCCCUGGGCUUAACUCAGGGAAGCCGUUCAAUACUGCGAAGCUUGAGGGCAGCAGAGGGAGGUGGAAUUCCCGGAGUAGCGGUGAAAUGCGUAGAUAUCGGGAGGAACACCAGUGGCGAAGGCGGCCUCCUGGGCUGCUCCGGACGCUGAAGGCGAAAGCUAGGGGAGCGAACGGGAUUAGAAACCCCGGUAGCCCUAGCCGUAAACGAUGGAUGCUAGGUGUGGGGGAUGUAGAUUCCCUCCGUGCCGCAGUUAACGCGUUAAGCAUCCCGCAUGGGGAGUACGGCCGCAAGGCUAAAACUCAAACGAAUUGACGGGGGCCCGCACAAGCAGCGGAGCGUGUGGUAUAAUUCGAUGCUACACGAAGAACCUUACCUGGGCUUGACAUACAGGUAGUAGUGAAGUGAAAGCGGAUCGAUCGUUCGGGGAGCCUGUACAGCUGCUGCAUGGCUGUCGUCAGCUCGUGCCGUGAGGUGUCGGGUUAAGUCCCGUAACGAGCGCAACCCUUGCUCUUAGUUAUACGUGUCUAAGAGGACUGCCGGCGGUAAGCCGGAGGAAGGUGGGGAUGACGUCAAGUCAGCAUGGCCUGUAUGUCCAGGGCUACACACACGCUACAAUGGCCGGUACAAUGGGUAGCUAUACCGCGAGGUGGAGCCAAUCCUGUAAGCCGGUCUCAGUUCGAAUUGCAGGCUGCAACUCGCCUGCAUGAAGUCGGAGUUGCUAGUAAUCGCAGGUCAGCUAUACUGCGGUGAAUACGUUCCCGGGCCUUGACACACCGCCCGUCACGUC
This 1012-nucleotide ribosomal RNA is filed under the name uncultured organism. RNAcentral describes it as "bacterial SSU rRNA". It matches the Rfam family "Bacterial small subunit ribosomal RNA", at positions 360 to 1403 of the family's 1533-position model. The record is from RNAcentral.